This 520-nucleotide ribosomal RNA is filed under the name uncultured bacterium. Its description in RNAcentral is "bacterial SSU rRNA". It matches the Rfam family "Bacterial small subunit ribosomal RNA", at positions 120 to 674 of the family's 1533-position model. The record is from RNAcentral.
GGGAAUCUACCGUGCCCUGCGGAAUAGCUCCGGGAAACUGGAAUUAAUACCGCAUACGCCCUACGGGGGAAAGAUUUAUCGGGGUAUGAUGAGCCCGCGUUGGAUUAGCUAGUUGGUGGGGUAAAGGCCUACCAAGGCGACGAUCCAUAGCUGGUCUGAGAGGAUGAUCAGCCACAUUGGGACUGAGACACGGCCCAAACUCCUACGGGAGGCAGCAGUGGGGAAUAUUGGACAAUGGGCGCAAGCCUGAUCCAGCCACGCCGCGUGAGUGAUGAAGGCCUUAGGGUUGUAAAGCUCUUUCACCGGUGAAGAUAAUGACGGUAACCGGAGAAGAAGCCCCGGCUAACUUCGUGCCAGCAGCCGCGGUAAUACGAAGGGGGCUAGCGUCGUUCGGAAUUACUGGGCGUAAAGCGCACGUAGGCGGAUAUUUAAGUCAGGGGUGAAAUCCCAGAGCUCAACUCUGGAACUGCCUUUGAUACUGGGUAUCUUGAGUAUGGAAGAGGUAAGUGGAAUUGCGAGU